CUGAAUGUUUAUUUUGGAGGUGCUGAUAACAAGGCUUAUGGUCACCUCUUCCUUAAAUUUAAAAAUAUUUCAUGGUAGUUACAUUUUAUUUUCACUUGAUUAUUUAGAUGAAGUGUAAUCAAAUGAACUCAAAGUAUAUCGGACUUGGUAGAUUUUCCUGGUUUUAGAGUGACAAAAGUUUAAUCAAAUGAACACAAAGUAUAUUGGACUUUGUAGAUUUUCCUAGUCUGGUUGAGUUGAAGGGAGCUUCUUUUUGUCUUCAUCAACUUUCAAAUUGAUAGUCAUUUUCUUUGGUUGGAUGAAUUAAUUGAUAUAGUCAUCUUUCAAUAACUUAGAUUGUGAUUGAAAUUCAAUAUGCAAAAAUGAUAGAAACAAAAAGUGCAAAUGAGUGGUUGGAAGGUACUUGUACUUGUGGAAGGAUAAGGGUGAUGGCAAAUCUGAUUUUUUACUGAAGAAGCUUG
This 461-nucleotide long non-coding RNA is filed under the name Manihot esculenta (cassava). RNAcentral describes it as "long non-coding RNA (MESC_LNC003269)". The record is from RNAcentral. Lineage: Eukaryota; Viridiplantae; Streptophyta; Magnoliopsida; Malpighiales; Euphorbiaceae.